UUGACAGUUUGGCUUCCCUGUUCUGGGUGGCAAAGCCUGUGGAGUACUCACCUACCUGCUGCAUGAAGGCAGCAUGGAGGGACUGUGGUGGAUUAUCUGCAAAGAUGGCCAAAAUUCUCUCAUCCCUGCAGGCACAUACAAGAUGCCAGAAUCAGUCAAAACUAAGCUCACUGUCCUUGCUAAUAUUCUGCCCCAGAGAAGAACUGAAGCUCAGCUCUUCACCCUACAGAAAGCCUGAAUUUUGUAAAUGUUCUGCUUAGAAUGAGGAAGAAAGAUGAAGAAUGAGGAGGAAGAAGGAAGGAACGAGAGAGAGCCAGGUUUCCAGAAGUUCCCCAGUCAUUGAGCAUUUCUGAGGCUCUUGAUGCAUAUGCCAAGUAGUUAUGGAGAAAGACACAGCAGCUUACCUCUGCAGGCAUCAUUGUGUGAAAGGAAGACCCAGGCUCUCUCACCACCCUUGAACAGAAGCCUUUUGCUAAGGUGAUAGCUACAUGUCCAAGCCUAUUGCGUGGCAUGCAUUUUGCCUUCUGCAGCCCACUAAAGGUGAGCAGUAAAUGUGUUUGCUAUUUCCCCAAAAGGAAAUUGAAGUAUACAGAAUGCUUAUUUGGUCUACUCAGUAUCAUCCUAAAUGUAUGUACCAAUGCUUAGGAGUUUGCAGUUCACCCGCAAACCUCAGCGAUCCAAGCUCCCCUGGAUGACCAUCACUCACCAAGAAAAGAGCAAUAACAGGACCUGUUUUGCUAAUCCAGGACUGUUCUCCAGCACUAACUCUAAAUAAUCCCUUCUGCUAGA
This 789-nucleotide long non-coding RNA is filed under the name Homo sapiens (human). RNAcentral's name for it is "long intergenic non-protein coding RNA 3156". Lineage: Eukaryota; Metazoa; Chordata; Mammalia; Primates; Hominidae. The record is from RNAcentral.